Molecule: ribosomal RNA, 1176 nt
Filed under: uncultured bacterium
Lineage: Bacteria
Description: bacterial SSU rRNA
Rfam family: Bacterial small subunit ribosomal RNA
Source: RNAcentral
CCUUGCGCUGAUGGAUGAGCCGAAGUCGGAUUAGCUAGUUGGUAGGGUAACGGCCUACCAAGGCGACGAUCCGUAGCUGGUCUGAGAGGACGACCAGCCACACUGGGACUGAGACACGGCCCAGACUCCUACGGGAGGCAGCAGUGGGGAAUUUUGGACAAUGGGGGCAACCCUGAUCCAGCCAUUCCGCGUGAGUGAAGAAGGCCUUCGGGUUGUAAAGCUCUUUCAGCUGGAGUGAAACGGUGCGCUCUAACAUAGCGUGCUAAUGACGGUACCAGCAGAAGAAGCGCCGGCUAACUACGUGCCAGCAGCCGCGGUAAUACGUAGGGUGCGAGCGUUAAUCGGAAUUACUGGGCGUAAAGCGUGCGCAGGCGGAUUGUUAAGCAAGAUGUGAAAUCCCCGGGCUUAACCUGGGAAUGGCAUUUUGAACUGGCAGUCUAGAGUGCGUCAGAGGGGGGUGGAAUUCCACGUGUAGCAGUGAAAUGCGUAGAGAUGUGGAGGAACACCGAUGGCGAAGGCAGCCCCCCUGGGAUGACACUGACGCUCAUGUACGAAAGCGUGGGUAGCAAACAGGAUUAGAUACCCUGGUAGUCCACGCCCUAAACGAUGUCAACUGGUUGUUGGGGGAGUGAAAUCCCUUAGUAACGAAGCUAACGCGUGAAGUUGACCGCCUGGGGAGUACGGUCGCAAGAUUAAAACUCAAAGGAAUUGACGGGGACCCGCACAAGCGGUGGAUGAUGUGGAUUAAUUCGAUGCAACGCGAAAAACCUUACCUACCCUUGACAUGUCCGGAAUCCUGCAGAGAUGCGGGAGUGCCCGAAAGGGAAUCGGAACACAGGUGCUGCAUGGCUGUCGUCAGCUCGUGUCGUGAGAUGUUGGGUUAAGUCCCGCAACGAGCGCAACCCUUAUCAUUAGUUGCUACGCAAGGGCACUCUAAUGAGACUGCCGGUGACAAACCGGAGGAAGGUGGGGAUGACGUCAAGUCCUCAUGGCCCUUAUGGGUAGGGCUUCACACGUCAUACAAUGGUCGGUACAGAGGGUUGCCAAGCCGCGAGGUGGAGCCAAUCCCAGAAAGCCGAUCGUAGUCCGGAUUGUUCUCUGCAACUCGAGAGCAUGAAGUCGGAAUCGCUAGUAAUCGCGGAUCAGCAUGUCGCGGUGAAUACGUUCCCGGGUCUU